UCUGGGCUCGAGCCUGCCUGGAGCCGCCGCCGGUGCAGAUCUUGGUGGUAGUAGCAAAUACUCCAGCGAGGCCCUGGAGGACUGAUGUGGAGAAGGGUUUCGUGUGAACAGCCGUUGCACACGAGUCAGUCGAUCCUAAGCCCUAGGAGAAAUCCGACGCCUACGGCGACGGGAAAAAUUUUUGAAAAAUCAACCCGUUGAUCGGGCGAAAGGGAAUCCGGUUCCUAUUCCGGAACCCGGCAGCGGAACCGCUGUUUGUCGGGCCCUCACAAGGGGUUCGUCAGGGUAACCUAAAAGGGCCCGGAGACGCCGUCGGGAGCCCCGGAAAGAGUUUUCUUUUCUGCAUGAGCGUUCGAGUUCCCUGGAAUCCUCUCGCAGGGAGAUAGGGUUUGGAACGCGAAGAGCACCGCAGUUGCGGCGGUGCCCGGGAAUUCCCGACGGACCUUGAAAAUCCGGGAGAGGGCCACGUGGAGGUGUCGCGCCGGCUCGUACCCAUAUCCGCAGCAGGUCUCCAAGGUGAAGAGCCUCUAGUCGAUAGAAUAAUGUAGGUAAGGGAAGUCGGCAAAUCGGAUCCGUAACUUCGGG
RNAcentral lists this ribosomal RNA (585 nucleotides) under Ischnura ultima. Its description in RNAcentral is "partial large subunit ribosomal RNA". It matches the Rfam family "Eukaryotic large subunit ribosomal RNA", at positions 1410 to 1940 of the family's 3401-position model. Lineage: Eukaryota; Metazoa; Arthropoda; Insecta; Odonata; Coenagrionidae. The record is from RNAcentral.